Schistosoma curassoni is the source of this 41-nucleotide non-coding RNA. The record is from Rfam. Lineage: Eukaryota; Metazoa; Platyhelminthes; Trematoda; Strigeidida; Schistosomatidae.
AGCUGACGAGUCCCAAACAGGACGAAACGCGCGUCCUGGAU